RNAcentral lists this ribosomal RNA (450 nucleotides) under uncultured bacterium. RNAcentral describes it as "bacterial SSU rRNA". It matches the Rfam family "Bacterial small subunit ribosomal RNA", at positions 354 to 796 of the family's 1533-position model. The record is from RNAcentral.
GUGGGGAAUAUUGGACAAUGGGCGAAAGCCUGAUCCAGCCAUGCCGCGUGUGUGAAGAAGGUCUUCGGAUUGUAAAGCACUUUAAGUUGGGAGGAAGGGCAGUAAGUUAAUACCUUGCUGUUUUGACGUUACCGACAGAAUAAGCACCGGCUAACUUCGUGCCAGCAGCCGCGGUAAUACGAAGGGUGCAAGCGUUAAUCGGAAUUACUGGGCGUAAAGCGCGCGUAGGUGGUUUUGUAAGUUGGAGGUGAAAUCCCCGGGCUCAACCUGGGAACUGCUUUCAAAACUGCUGAGCUAGAGUACGGUAGAGGGUGGUGGAAUUUCCUGUGUAGCGGUGAAAUGCGUAGAUAUAGGAAGGAACACCAGUGGCGAAGGCGACCACCUGGACUGAUACUGACACUGAGGUGCGAAAGCGUGGGGAGCAAACAGGAUUAGAAACCCCUGUAGUCC